GAGUUUGAACCUGGCUCAGGAUGAACGCUGGCGGCGUGCCUAACACAUGCAAGUCGAACGAAGCAGAGGGGCGGAAUUUUUUCGGAGAGGAAGCCCCCCUGACUGAGUGGCGGACGGGUGAGUAACGCGUGGACAACCUACCCCGCACUGGGGGACAACAGCUGGAAACGGCUGCUAAUACCGCAUAUGCGCACGGCCCCGCAUGGGGCCGCGCGGAAAGCGCAUGCGGUGCGGGAUGGGUCCGCGUCUGAUUAGCUUGUUGGCGGGGUAACGGCCCACCAAGGCGACGAUCAGUAGCCGGCCUGAGAGGGUGGACGGCCACAUUGGGACUGAGACACGGCCCAGACUCCUACGGGAGGCAGCAGUGGGGGAUAUUGCACAAUGGGGGCAACCCUGAUGCAGCGACGCCGCGUGAGCGAUGGAGUACUUCGGUAUGUAAAGCUCUGUCAGCAGGGAAGAGAAUGACGGUACCUGACCAAGAA
Molecule: ribosomal RNA, 482 nt
Filed under: uncultured bacterium
Lineage: Bacteria
Description: bacterial SSU rRNA
Rfam family: Bacterial small subunit ribosomal RNA
Source: RNAcentral